RNAcentral lists this ribosomal RNA (339 nucleotides) under uncultured bacterium. RNAcentral describes it as "bacterial SSU rRNA". It matches the Rfam family "Bacterial small subunit ribosomal RNA", at positions 355 to 686 of the family's 1533-position model. The record is from RNAcentral.
UCGGGAAUUUUGGGCAAUGGGCGAAAGCCUGACCCAGCAACGCCGCGUGAGUGAAGAAGGCCUUCGGGUUGUAAAGCUCUUUCAGACGGAAAGAAACGGUUACGGCUAAUACCCGUGACUAAUGACGGUACCGUAAGAAGAAGCACCGGCUAACUACGUGCCGGCAGCCGCGGUAAUACGUAGGGUGCGAGCGUUAAUCGGAAUUACUGGGCGUAAAGCGUGCGCAGGCGGUUUGGUAAGACAGAUGUGAAAUCCCCGGGCUUAACCUGGGAACUGCAUUUGUGACUGCCAGACUAGAGUGUAGCAGAGGGGGGUAGAAUUCCACGUGUAGCGAGUAGA